RNAcentral lists this ribosomal RNA (481 nucleotides) under Uroctea compactilis. RNAcentral describes it as "partial 16S ribosomal RNA". It matches the Rfam family "Bacterial large subunit ribosomal RNA", at positions 1804 to 2620 of the family's 2925-position model. The record is from RNAcentral. Lineage: Eukaryota; Metazoa; Arthropoda; Arachnida; Araneae; Oecobiidae.
UUAACAAAAACAUCUCUUACAGAUUCCAAUUGUAAGUAAAAUCUGCUCAAUGAUUUUAAAUAGCCGCAAAUUUAUUUGUGCUAAGGUAGCAUAAUCACUCGUCUUUCAAUUGAAGACUAGAAUGAAAGAUUUAACAUUUCAAUAAUUUUCUUAUAUUUACCUUAUUAAAAUUAUUUUAAAUGUAAAAAAACAUUUAUAAAUUAGAAAGACGACAAGACCCUAUCGAACUUAACUAAAGUUUAAGCUGGGGCAGCUAAUUAAUUAUUAUUUUAAUUAAAACAUAAUCAACAAAAGACCCGAUUCAAUCGAUCAUCUGACCAAGUUACCGUAGGGAUAACAGCGUUAUCAUUCUUUAAAGCUCUUAUUAAAAGAACACGAUUGCGACCUCGAUGUUGAACUAACUUAACUUUACUACGCAGUAGUAGUAUUAUGUUAGUCUGUUCGACUAUUAAAAAGUUACGUGAUCUGAGUUCAGACCGGG